This 406-nucleotide ribosomal RNA is filed under the name uncultured bacterium. Its description in RNAcentral is "partial 16S ribosomal RNA". It matches the Rfam family "Bacterial small subunit ribosomal RNA", at positions 30 to 526 of the family's 1533-position model. The record is from RNAcentral.
AUUGAACGCUGGCGGCAGGCCUAACACAUGCAAGUCGAACGAGUGGCGGACGGGUGAGUAAUGUCUGGGAAACUGCCCGAUGGAGGGGGAUAACUACUGGAAACGGUAGCUAAUACCGCAUACCAUCGGAUGUGCCCAGAUGGGAUUAGCUUGUAGGUGAGGUAACGGCUCACCUAGGCGACGAUGCCUAGCUGGUCUGAGAGGAUGACCAGCCACACUGGAACUGGGACGCGGUGCAGACUCUUACGGGAGGCAUCAGUGGGGAAUAUGGCAAAAUGGGCGCAAGCCUGAUGCAGCCAUGCCGCGUGUAGGAAGAAGGCCUUCGGGUUGUAAAGUACUUUCAGCGGGGAGGCGUUACCCGCAGCAGAAUCACCGGCUAACUCCGGGCCAGCAGCCGCGGUUAUUC